Molecule: long non-coding RNA, 2037 nt
Filed under: Equus caballus (horse)
Lineage: Eukaryota; Metazoa; Chordata; Mammalia; Perissodactyla; Equidae
Description: lncRNA (ENSECAG00000052788.1)
Source: RNAcentral
GCACACACCAUGCGUGGCUCAGGGCUGUGGGUCCCAACCCUCCUCUAGGCCAUGAGCUACUUGAGUUUGGUCCACUCCCAGGAUGCCCGCUGCCCCCUGGUAACAGGAUCCAUGACUAGCAUUGCUGUGUUAAAUUAGCCAAAAGGAACCAAAAAUGGGUUCUGAGCACCUACAGAUUUUAUCUAUUUGAGGAGAAAAAAAUGUGUUAUACAAAUCAAUUCAGUCUUUGACAGGUGUAGAAAUUAAAGUCCAGAGAGGUUAAAUGAGUUACCCAAAGGCACACAGCAGAAAAUGGUAGAGUUGGAAUUAGGAGUCUCAUUUCAGACCACAGAAGCCAGUCCACUGUGAGGACAGGGACUAGCACUGACUCACUCUUCGGAAUUCCGGUUCCCUUCACCUUGGUUCAACCACCACACCAGCAAAAAAGCAGUGCCAAAGAAAUAUGAGAGCUUCAGGGUCCAAGAGGUCUGGUGUGCACACUCCCAGGCCCAGGGUCCUGCAGAGGCCCCCCAAAGCCGGGGUGGCCUGCAGGCAGUGAGGAGUGUGCCAGGGGAGAAGCUCCUCCUGGCUUCUGCCCACUCUGUGUGAGGCUGGGGAGGGGGUUACGUAUACGGUCAGGGCCCUUCUUUCUCUGCCUCACUCCAUAACCUGGUUCUUUCUGCACUUCUGCACCGGCCGGGGCCAGGCCACGCCCACAGGCCCGCCAUGACCCUUUUCCACACAGUUGCGAUCUGGUGGGAGUAAUACAACAUCUGUGCACAAGGAAACAGCCCCUGGACGGCCAGGGUCCCAUCACCCCACCAUGGACAUUGGGGCUGGGUAAUUCUUUAUUGUGGGGCCGUCCUGUGCCCUGUAGGAUGUUUAUCAGCAUCCCUGUCCUCCACCCACUAGAUGAGGGAGCUCACACACCCCAAGUGCUAACAAUUGAAUGCGGCUCCAGACAUCCUCAAAUAUCUCCUGGGGAGACAUUUGUGCCCCUGGCUGAGAAGCAGUGGUGUAAGGAAUAUAAAUACUGGCGAAUAAGGCCGAGGAGAGGGAGCACGAUGAGUGUCGCGGGGCAAAGGGGGACAUAAUCUGGCCUUAAGAAUGGCGGGUCCUUGCAGUGUGGCAGAGACAGCGAUGCUCAGCAAAUAUUCCCUCGGCUCCCCUCCCUCUCCCAGCCCCCUGUGCCCAAGAGUGUCGUGUAUAGUUCUGACGACUGAAAUAUGAGCAGCGGAGACAAGUGUGGCUCCUGGGCCCCAGGGGAUGGAAAGCCCGUGCCGGGUUCUCCCGCCUCAGUUUCCCCCGCGAUGGUGCCUAAGAGACCCUGUGCUCCGCAGGAAAACCAGAUCCCCCCGGAACCGCGAGGAGCAAAAUGCCCUCAAACGCGCGCAGAGCAAGGGAUGGGCGUCUGCGGGGUGAGCGCCGUCUGGGACCGGGCUAGAGGCUGGCCUGUCGUGACCAGUGGAAAUGGGCAGAUGGGAGAAGGGACGCAUUGCUGAUGGCGGUGGGGGAAGCCUGAAGGACGACCUGGAGGAGGCGAAGCCCAGCUGUUGACAGCGGCUGUGCUGGAACAGCCGCGCUGUGCACAGAAGGGGGACGAAGUGUGCAGCGGGCAGGUCGCCGCCUGAUCACGGAGGCCGAGAGGCGCGCGGGAGCCAGGGCGACGGGGUGGCCGCAGGACAGAUUAGGAAAGUGGUCUUUAAGAAUUCAUGGGUUUGGGGGCUGGCCCCGCGGCCGAGUGGUUGGGUUCGCGCGCUCCGCUGCAGGCGGCCCAGUGUUUCGUUGGUUCGAAUCCUGGGCGCGGACAUGGCACUGCUCAUCAGACCACGCUGAGGCGGCGUCCCACAUGCCACAACUAGAGGAACCUACAACGAAGAAUACACAACUAUGUACCGGGGGGCUUUGCGGAGAAAAAGGAAAAUAAAAUAAAAUAAAAUAAAAAGAAUUCAUGGGUUUGUUAAGUAAAAGAAACCAGGCCGUAGAGAGUGCAUGCUGAAUGAUGGCAUUUUUAUAAAGUACCAAACAGUCACACAUCCCUCUCGCCCUAGAAUUCGA